UUAACUAUUUAUAAUACUCGGACAUCACUAAUAAAAGAGUUUGGGUCCUCUGGCGGGCGCGAUCAGCCAGGGCCGACGUCUAAAAGAACGGCCCGCCAAAGCAACAAAAGUAAAUAAACAUAGGGUAUAUGAUAUCUCCCUUUCCAGUCUGUUGCGUUUUAUAGCAAGAGACCGGUCCAGUUACAUUAAUGAUCCUUCCGCAGGUUCACCUACGGAAA
This 218-nucleotide unclassified non-coding RNA is filed under the name uncultured fungus. RNAcentral's name for it is "sequence contains ITS1". The record is from RNAcentral. Lineage: Eukaryota; Fungi.